This 65-nucleotide transfer RNA is filed under the name Habroscelimorpha dorsalis dorsalis. RNAcentral describes it as "tRNA-Arg". The record is from RNAcentral. RNAcentral also lists the same sequence under 1 other name. Lineage: Eukaryota; Metazoa; Arthropoda; Insecta; Coleoptera; Carabidae.
AAGUGAGAAGUAAAAAUUACAUUUAGUUUCGACCUAAAAAUCUGAUGUCCUAACAUCCUCACUUG